UGGGGAAUUUUGCACAAUGGGGGAAACCCUGAUGCAGCGACGCCGCGUGAUUUAGAAGGCCUUCGGGUUGUAAAAAUCUUUUCUAUGGGAAGAAAAUGACAGUACCAUAGGAAUAAGGACCGGCUAAUUACGUGCCAGCAGCCGCGGUAAUACGUAAGGUCCGAGCGUUGUCCGGAAUCAUUGGGCGUAAAGGGUACGUAGGCGGGUAAGAAAGUUAGAAGUGAAAUCCUAUAGCUCAACUAUAGUAAGCUUUUAAAACUGCUCAUCUUUAGGUAUGGAAGGGAAAGUGGACUUCCUAGUGUAGCGCUGAAAUGCGCAGAUAUUAGGAGGAAUACCGGUGGCGAAGGCGACUUUCUGGCCAUAACCUGACGCUGAGGUACGAAAGCGUGCGUAGCAAACAGG
RNAcentral lists this ribosomal RNA (402 nucleotides) under bacterium. RNAcentral's name for it is "partial 16S ribosomal RNA". It matches the Rfam family "Bacterial small subunit ribosomal RNA", at positions 355 to 776 of the family's 1533-position model. The record is from RNAcentral.